Unclassified non-coding RNA from Rhinopithecus bieti (black snub-nosed monkey), 278 nucleotides. It matches the Rfam family "Metazoan signal recognition particle RNA". From Rfam's summary of the family: The signal recognition particle (SRP) is a universally conserved ribonucleoprotein. It is involved in the co-translational targeting of proteins to membranes. The record is from Ensembl. Lineage: Eukaryota; Metazoa; Chordata; Mammalia; Primates; Cercopithecidae.
GCAGGAUGUUAUGGCUCAAACCUAUAGUCCCAGCUACUUGGGAGAGUAGGCCAGAGGAUUGCUUGAGCCCAGGAGUUCUGGGCUGCAGUGUGCCAUGCCAGUAGGGUAUCCACACUAAAUUUGGCGUCAGUAUGGUGACCUUCCUGGAGCAGGGUUGCCUAAAGUGGGCUGAACUGGCCCAGGAUGGAAAUGGACCAGGUCGAAAUUCCCGUGCUGAUGAGUAUUGGGAUCAUGUCACUGCACUGCAGCCUGGACAACCAUAGCAAGGAUCCAUCUCU